GUUUCCUUUGACACUGACUGUUUUGGGAGAGACUAGGCAAGAUGCUCUGCCCAAGUCUUACAUUGAACUUUGUCUUAAAUGUGUUGAUUUUUUUUUCCCCAGAGCAGUGAUAGUGACUGUCUGGUGAUAUCUCCUGUGUAAGAGCUGCGAUAGGAGGAAAUACUGAGGAGAGAAGAGAAGCAAGACCCAGGAGAGGAGCAGCGUACUGUGUGCAGGUCACGGAUGCUAACAGGGAGAAAGGUUCAGAAGCUGCCCCUCUAAUCAGUUACCAUCUGAGCACUGCAGACACAGAAACUGAGGCACGCAGGAACUGAACAACUUGCCCAAGGCUACAGGAAGUCUGUGGGAGAUCUGGGAAUAGACCCCAGAUGUCCUGAGCUCUAUCUUAACCACAAGAGCAUCCUUCCUGUCUUUUUGGUAGUCCCCUCUGCUUCAGGAACUCCAUUUAUGUAUUGCACCCAUCAACAGCCUGUUGCCUGAUCCAGUGAUUUACUCGCAUAAAAGUGUCAUUUGGAAGGAAAAAAAAACCCAGACACCUUCUAAAAUGAGCUGCAGCUAUUGCUGUCCCUUCUUCCUAAAGAGUAAAGGAGAAGGAGUGCAAACAAACCCAGCAUCCACAACUAAGAGCCUUUUCCAUUACUAAGCAGACUUUGUGCAAACAAUAAUUUUACACUUGAAGAGAACUGGGAUCUCUAUACGUGAUGUUUGAGUCUGUCUGCGUGUUUAUAUUUCAGUGAGCUUAAAACAAAGACUGAAACAGAAUUAAAUCCACCUAGGGCAUGAAUCUGGUGCUGUUCGCUGUUCUGAGUACCUGUGAUGGCAGUCCACUUGGAUGCCACGUCCUGACAGCUCAGGGCUAUUGCUGCUUGUCCCUUCUCCUCGUCAGAACUGGCUGAAUGAUGGGAAGGGCUUUCUUCUCUAUAAAGCGUGCCUCCUGGCUUGGAAAUGAUGGCAUGAAUGGAAUGUCAUAGACAUGUAUAUCGCCUUUAAUGAGCAUCGUUUCUGCGGAACAUUACUGAAAACGAUUCCUACCUAAAGCCUUUUGAUGCUGGUGUUACUUGGUGAAGGAUACACCGAGCGCUGCGUUCUGCUGGCACUGUACCCUCCUUAGCAUCACCAGUCACCAAGGACUGAGCGCUCUGUAUCGUUAGGUUUUAUCUUCAGACCUUGGCAUUGUGGUAAUAUCUAAGAAUUCCGGUCAUGAAUCGUAAAUCUGUGCGCGAUCACUGUGCAAACACCAACCUCGAGCUCUCUAGAGUUGGGAUGUGAAGGCACAGCUGAUGGCUUGAAGCAGUGUGCGUGGUUCCUCCCCUCUCCAUGCUGCCCUGCAGUCCUUGAGGCCUGGCACUAGGGUGCUGAGCUCGGUGCUGGGACGCCUCUUUCCCUUGGAAUGGGACUUCAGAGCACAGAAAUACCAAUAGCGUCUGAGCUCAGUGCGGUCCCUGCCCUGCUGCAUUGACCCUGGCUCAACCUCAGCCUGUUUGGUUUGGUGAGGUUUUCUGUUUGCUCUUGUAUCUGUUUGGAAAACUGUGGAUUUGCUUCACCUUUCUUAUUUUACCGGGGUUUAUCUUCAUUAUGCCACGGUGGUAAGACCAACUGCUCAAUCUCUGUGUCGCUCAGCGUGGCAAGGUGCUAUGAGCGGUGCUUCAAGUAGCUCCUGCAAAGCAAAUACUAUCUUGUGUGUAUGUGGGACUGCUUUCCGGCCUUUUUUUUCCCCGGAGAUUCGUUGAUAACACAGCUACGCUUUCGGACUUGUGUUUUACAUCCGUAUUUCAGCGCUGGACGAAACGCUUCAACCGUUUUUCUUGCGCGGGCCGUGGUAGAGAGGACGAGCGGCCGCUCCGCGCUGAGGUCGGGCUGUGGGCGGCCAACCCGCGCGGUGCCGCGGCCUGCCACCAGGGGGCGCCGUUCCCUGCGCGGAGCCGCGGGUUCGGCCCGGCCUCGGC
Numida meleagris (helmeted guineafowl) is the source of this 1946-nucleotide long non-coding RNA. RefSeq lists it as uncharacterized. The record is from RefSeq and is a predicted model, not a curated record. The transcript is spliced from 3 exons. NCBI's taxonomy places the organism in Eukaryota, Metazoa, Chordata, Aves, Galliformes, Numididae.